This 785-nucleotide non-coding RNA is filed under the name Carea varipes. The record is from RNAcentral. Lineage: Eukaryota; Metazoa; Arthropoda; Insecta; Lepidoptera; Nolidae.
AAAUAAAUUUUUAUAGUUUAAAAAGUUUAUUGAAAAUUUAUUUUACAUAUAAAUUUUUGUAUUAAAAUUAAUUUAUUUUAAUAAUAAAUUAAUUAUUUAAGUAGUAAUUAAUAUUAAAUAAUUUAAGAAAUUAAGAUUUAGUAAUAUUUAAAAUUAAUAACAAAUUUUGUGCCAGCAGUUGCGGUUACACAAAAAUUAAAUUAAAUUUUAUUGAUUAAUUAAUAAAUAAUUUUAAUUUAUAUAAUUGAAAUUUUAAAUUAUUAAGUGAAAUUUUAAUUUAAUAAAAUUUUAUUUUUUAAUUAUUAUUUAAUAAAUUUUUUUAAGAAACUAGGAUUAGAUACCCUAUUAUUAAAAUUUUAAAUUUAAAUAUCAAAAUAGUAAAUAAUUAUUUAUUGAAACUUAAAUAACUUGGCGGUAUUUUAGUUCAUUUAGAGGAAUCUGUUUAAUAAUUGAUAUUCCACGAAUAAAUUUACUUAAUUUAUAAUUUUGUAUAUCGUUGUUAAAAAAAUAUUUUUUAAUAAUAAAUAAUAUUUAAAAAUUUUUAUAUAAAAUUAUAUCAGAUCAAGAUGCAGAUUAUAAUUAAGAAUAUAAUGGAUUACAAUAAAUUUAUUUAAAUGAAUAUUAAUUUGGAAAAAUUAAUUGAAGGUGGAUUUAAAUGUAAUUUUAUUUAAUUUAAUAAAAUGAUUUAAAAUUAAAAUAUGUACAUAUUGCCCGUCGCUUUCAUAUAUUAAAAUUGAAAUAAGUCGUAACAAAGUAGAGGUACUGGAAAGUGUUUCUAGAAAGAA